Molecule: ribosomal RNA, 653 nt
Filed under: Mesorhizobium sp. ERB2-5
Lineage: Bacteria; Pseudomonadati; Pseudomonadota; Alphaproteobacteria; Hyphomicrobiales; Phyllobacteriaceae
Description: bacterial SSU rRNA
Rfam family: Bacterial small subunit ribosomal RNA
Source: RNAcentral
CGAGCGCCCCGCAAGGGGAGCGGCAGACGGGUGAGUAACGCGUGGGAAUCUACCCAGCUCUACGGAAUAACCCAGGGAAACUUGGACUAAUACCGUAUACGUCCUCCGGGAGAAAGAUUUAUCGGAGUUGGAUGAGCCCGCGUUGGAUUAGCUAGUUGGUGGGGUAAUGGCCUACCAAGGCGACGAUCCAUAGCUGGUCUGAGAGGAUGAUCAGCCACAUUGGGACUGAGACACGGCCCAAACUCCUACGGGAGGCAGCAGUGGGGAAUAUUGGACAAUGGGCGAAAGCCUGAUCCAGCCAUGCCGCGUGAGUGAUGAAGGCCCUAGGGUUGUAAAGCUCUUUCAACGGUGAAAAUAAUGACGGUAACCGUAGAAGAAGCCCCGGCUAACUUCGUGCCAGCAGCCGCGGUAAUACGAAGGGGGCUAGCGUUGUUCGGAAUUACUGGGCGUAAAGCGCACGUAAGCGGAUAUUUAAGUCAGGGGUGAAAUCCCGGGGCUCAACCCCGGAACUGCCUUUGAUACUGGGUAUCUAGAGUCCGGAAGAGGUGAGUGGAAUUCCGAGUGUAGAGGUGAAAUUCGUAGAUAUUCGGAGGAACACCAGUGGCGAAGGCGGCUCACUGGUCCGGUACUGACGCUGAAGUGCGAAAGCGUGG